CAGCCUUUUCACAAAACAGACGAGGACAAUUAUUCCUCUCCCAAGUUAAAAUAUGAAUAGUGUUUAUUUUUGUUUUCUUCCGAAUGUCUUAAUUUCACCCGAUGUCUGACCACGACCAAAGAACUGGCGUGAUCUGUGGCUGAUUCAUAGAGCUGAGCUGGCGAAGCCUGCGAUCACGGAGUACAGGGAUCAUAACAGACCGGAGUGGGGGAGGGGUGCGCAGACUCGGCGUAACGGCCAAGAGAAAGCAGGAGACACUCGGACGCUUCGGUGCUGCAGUUUAGUUGGUGCCCACCAUCAGUUCAAAGGAAUCCCGCUCAAGAGAGUGGGCAAUAAAGCUCGUAACGUACAAGAUCAGCCUAAAGAAACCAUGCCCUAAAAUCUGGCCUUCAUAACCGAGCGGGUCUGUUAGUGUUGGAUUGUCUAAAUAAAUAAAUAAGCUAUGGGCUAUAGAAACUAAUAGGCCUAUGCAUUAGAAAAACAACACUAAUGCUUUUAAUGAAACAUUUUAAAGCGUAUUCCUCAGUUUAAAUACGCACUAUAUCUUACUGGUUUUGCUUUCAUUUGUUUUUCAUUUUGCAUUAAGUUAGACGUGAAACUAGUAAAUAACACGAAAGCCCUUUGGGUGAAGAGACUUGGUAAAUUGUAAUAAUUAAACCCUAGGGUCUUGUAUCAUGUGCAAUGGAACUGCAGGGGUCUCGGUUCUCCUCACAUUGGCAGUAGGAACCAGAGCUCUUCAAAAGAACAUCUUCACGUCUGCUGCACCAGCCAGAUGUUGGUCGUGAGGUUGACGCCCUGGAGUGGAGGUUGAGAUCAGAGACACUGAGGGACAGUGGAAAAGGAACAGGACUCGCUUUAAGCUGAAAGAGGACAGGACUACCACUGUCCAAGCCUGAGAGACUGGGAAACGCUCCGAGAGACUGGGAAACGCUCCGAGACACUGGGAAACGCUCCGAGAGACUGGGAAACGCUCUGAGAGAAAUGGGAAACGCUCUGCCGCCCCAAGAUCUGCCAAAGUGAAGCGUUCAAAUGUGCCCAAAUGCUCUUUGCAAACCAGAGGACUGCUGCUCAAUGACUGUUUUUCUUCUGCACUCUGCACUGUGUUAUAUUCUUUAUAUAAUCUCCAUGAAGAUCUGACAAAAAUAAAGAAUGUUGCAUAUAUUCCUGCAUAUAUUAUCUAUAUUAUUCCCUCUAACAGCUGAAAUUUCAGAAGUGACUGAAAACUACUAUAGUGUGCUUGUACAAACUAGCAUUACGGUGGGAAAAGCAAAGAGAGGCAUAUGUGGCCCCUACAUGUGACAGAUGAAUCGUUUUUCCCAACCUGACUGACACUGCAUUAGAGAUGUAUACAGCUUUUUGCUACAUUGGAGGGGUUUGACGGGACGAAGACCAUCCCAAUACCAUUCUAAAUGUAUCCUGCAGUGUUAUUCAUUGUAAAUAUAAAUUCUAAGAAGUCCUUUAAACAUUUUUAGAGGUUUUUCCCUCCCCAAACAUCACUGUUGAAGGGAGAAAGCAUAUAUUGUUCGGCUCACUGUUGUUAACGUAUUUUUUUUUCUUUUUUUUUAGUGGGGCGGCAGUUCAAAUGGACUUCAACCCAAAUAUUACAUAUUCAAGUUUUUUUUUCUUUCUAUGUAGUUUUUGCAUUUAAAUAACUCAUCAUAUCCACAAUGAGAUAACAAAACAAAACCAUAUCAACACAGAGAAGAGAAAAAAACAAAACAAAAUUAAACAGCAACAACAACUUUAACAGUAAUAACCGAUGGAGAAAGCGCGUGAUAUUCUGGAUGGCCAUUCGCAAAGUGCUUUUAUUUAUUACAAUCACCAAGCUGCAAACAGCAUGAUGGCUUUGAGAAGCCCAGCUCACUGCCGACCUGCUGACCUUAGAGCUAGCGGAGCUCUGGCAGGGGACGGGACGGAGAACCCCACAGUUUAAGACCUCUGAAUCUCCUUCUCCCUCCAUCCCUACCCAACCCCUUCUCCUACCAUCAAUCCAUGAGUGGGAAUUUUAGAAGUUACGGAAUGCAUUCCAGAUUCCUUGGUGGCUUCGGACCCGAAGUCUCUCUGCGACACAGUCUCUUCCGCCGACAUUCUGUGGCUUAGUGUGUGGAAGGUGGCCAGCACAGACAGGCUAUAAGCCCAGAGGAACAAAACAAUAUCUCUGCAGCCCUGGAGCCACCAUUCAGUAAGCCUGUAGUGACAGACUCCUUUCGGGCACGCGUUUGCUUCAGCACACAUGAACACACGUAACGUAGGCAAAGUAAUGAGGGGACUACGGGCAGCUCGGUCCUAUAACACAUAGGUCCUGUCUCCACAUGGAUAGAUAGAGUACAAUAAAGCUUUGAUUAGACGAAAGGCAAAAAACUGGGCUGGUACCAAACCAAUGGACUGCAGUGUUGUUCAACCUGAGAAGCAACUGACUUAAAAGGAUAGAUGAUUUCCCAUAAUACCCAGAAUAGUGACUUGUGUUUUACACCACAUUCCAACCCCCCCUCCCCCCGUACACACACGCACACACAGAAAUGCACCAAAAAUUCACUUCCAGCAUCAUGUCCACGGCCAGCGAAGCACGACCCGCUCGGGCCGUCAUAGGCUUAGGUAGCUGCCAUUCCUUCCUUCCUGCAUGCAACGACACAGCACACGCUGCCAUACCUUUCCCAGGCUUUCCAGGCCCCGAGGCGCACCCUGGUAAAAGUGCCCCUGACGCUCUCCAUCCUGGGCAAACCCCCGGCUCCACCCACUAGGCUCUUAGUGCAACCCGGGCCGACCGGCCGCAGGCAGGAGGUAGGAGGCUCUCCGCAGGUCUGCAGGCGGAGCCGUGCCCUCUGCCUGCUCUGGCGUGUGGCAGCCUUCGGUGUUGCUAGGCUGCGGUCUCGCCUCAGCAUCUGCACGCUCUGCUGCCGCCCUCACCGACUCCAGUCCCGUGAUCAUUAUCAUCGAUUUCUUUUUUUAAAUAAUGCUUUUUGACAUCCCAUCCAAUAAAUAAAACAAAGACAACAUUUGGAUAUAACGACAUAUCUGGCGUCUUGUAAAAGGGUUUGUGAGACACCUUCUCAGUGUAGCAUCUUCCUAAGGAGUCAUAGUAGGGGACUGAGGCUGGGGCGAUUCACUGUCGUGGACUUUGUGAUGAAGCCUCAGCCACGCUUCAUAUCCAAAUCUUCACGGGCUUAACCGAUCGGAUUUGUCGCAGUUGAUUACAAGAAAGGAGUUUCACAUUCGGCCCCGUACAGUACUUCUGUAAACGUCCUACAACAGAUCAUGACUUUAAUUAGACUGGUGAGAGACUCAGUGGGGACCGUCAUUAGCAACUGGACAGGGAAUGAAAACGAAAACGUCCUUUUGAAGAAAACCCCUCCCGAUAUGCUCCCGCGUUAAGGCACGUUCUCCCCCAGGUCUCUCCAUCCCCUCACCCCACCCUCAGCCCAGGCCUCAACACCCCUACCAGACUCCUUGUGGAUCCUUUUAAACAAAGCUUAAGUCCCAAGACAAGACCUUUGAGUUGCUGUGAACCAGCAGAAGCAUCCUAUUAGUCCACUGAACAGGUGUGUGAAAUCAGGCAUUUAGGUUUUGAUCUGAUGAACCUGCUGAACUGGGCUAGUCCCCAACACUGUAUCUGUGUUAAGGAGCCUAUGUUGGGGACAGAGUUUUUUUAACCACACAGAAUCUUAAAAAAAACAAACAAACAAAAAAAACAACAACCUGUGUUAUUCAAUGUUCAGUAAUAUUCGCAUUACAGGAGGAUUCUGUCAUCUGAAACCAAAGAUAUAAUUAGGGAUAAGAGAAAUCUUAUUCAUCUUAUACAUAUACGAGUAAAAUUAAUUCAAGUAAUCCAGGCCUUUGUCUACUUUGGUUUAAAAGUGAUUAAUAAACAUACAGUAGAAAAGGUGAUGGAAGGAUGGCUUAAAUUACGCUGUGUUCACAGAAACUCAAAGGUCUUGCCGAGAUUUCUAGCCCUGGUCCUCUGAGGACAAAGGUGUGACUUUUAGUGCAAUACUCGUACUGUCUCAGCCAAAGCACCAUAUUCAGUGCUAUCAGCAUUUACACCCCCCACCCUGACACACACACACACACACACUACCCCCAUCCCUGCUACCUAAACCCCUAAUCCACCUCCACCGUGUAAGUUCAGAUCCCCUCACAUACACUUCAACUUAUACAAGAACCAUUAACUUAGAAAGAAAAUGUAGCAACACAAUUUGCAAGGUAAAAGAAAACAGGCAUUUCAUCAACUAAAAGGUCAGUGACAGACAGAAAAGGAGGUCAAGUAAUUUCUUUCUCCGCAAUGAAAUCCACUGCUACUUCUGCGUAUGUAAAGAGGGGAGGUUUUGGGUGCGUCAGUGCUACCAGUUCAGAGCUACUGUGUGUGUGUAACACCUGCAAGCUGACUUAAAGAACAGAGUGUUAGAGACUGGUUAUAAGUUGGCCGUCAGCGAAAGAAAUCGUAAUCGUAAAGAUAUGUUCCCAAUAAUGAUUUAAGGCUGAACUAAAAAUGUGUGAAGCGCAGGCAAUCCGAACUCACGGCGCAGUGGGCACUGCGACAUAUGGGUGCGGCCCUGUAAUAGCGGCCUAACCCUUUCCCUUUUAUGACAUGGACUACAGAGGUCGUCAACUGGGCGACCCCUGAGUCAGAUCACAACGGGUAUCCUGUCCUCUGCACAUAAUGACAGAAAUAAGAGCAACAAACCGGUCAACUCUGUAAAUGGGAUAUGCUUAUUAAGAAUUGCUGGAAGACCCCUGCAGACACACACACACACACACACAC
Non-coding RNA from Electrophorus electricus (electric eel), 4759 nucleotides. Lineage: Eukaryota; Metazoa; Chordata; Actinopteri; Gymnotiformes; Gymnotidae. The record is from RefSeq and is a predicted model, not a curated record.